This 468-nucleotide ribosomal RNA is filed under the name uncultured bacterium. Its description in RNAcentral is "partial 16S ribosomal RNA". It matches the Rfam family "Bacterial small subunit ribosomal RNA", at positions 28 to 507 of the family's 1533-position model. The record is from RNAcentral.
GACAAACGCUGGCGGCGUGCUUAACACAUGCAAGUCGAACGGUGAAGCUCCAGCUUGCUGGAGUGGAUCAGUGGCGAACGGGUGAGUAACACGUGAGCAACCUGCCCCUGACUCUGGAAUAAGCGCUGGAAACGGCGUCUAAUACUGGAUACGAGAAGGGUCCGCAUGGGCACUUUCUGGAAAGUUUUUCGGUUGGGGAUGGGCUCGCGGCCUAUCAGCUUGUUGGUGAGGUAAUGGCUCACCAAGGCGACGACGGGUAGCCGGCCUGAGAGGGCGACCGGCCACACUGGGACUGAGACACGGCCCAGACUCCUACGGGAGGCAGCAGUGGGGAAUAUUGCACAAUGGGCGAAAGCCUGAUGCAGCGACGCCGCGUGAGGGAUGACGGCCUUCGGGUUGUAAACCUCUUUCAGCAGGGAAGAAGCGAAAGUGACGGUACCUGCAGAAGAAGCACCGGCUAACUACGUG